CCUACGGGGGGCAGCAGUGGGGAAUAUUGCACAAUGGGCGAAAGCCUGAUGCAGCAACGCCGCGUGAGGGACGACGGCCUUCGGGUUGUAAACCUCUUUUAGUAGGGAAGAAGCGAAAGUGACGGUACCUGCAGAAAAAGCACCGGCUAACUACGUGCCAGCAGCCGCGGUAAUACGUAGGGUGCAAGCGUUAUCCGGAAUUAUUGGGCGUAAAGAGCUCGUAGGCGGUUUGUCACGUCUGCUGUGAAAACUGGAGGCUCAACCUCCAGCCUGCAGUGGGUACGGGCAGACUAGAGUGCGGUAGGGGAGAUUGGAAUUCCUGGUGUAGCGGUGGAAUGCGCAGAUAUCAGGAGGAACACCGAUGGCGAAGGCAGAUCUCUGGGCCGUAACUGACGCUGAGGAGCGAAAGCAUGGGGAGCGAACAGGAUUAGAUACCCUAGUAGUC
Molecule: ribosomal RNA, 445 nt
Filed under: uncultured bacterium
Lineage: Bacteria
Description: bacterial SSU rRNA
Rfam family: Bacterial small subunit ribosomal RNA
Source: RNAcentral